UCACUGGGUGACCAGCGUGUGGAUGUGGUC
RNAcentral lists this non-coding RNA (30 nucleotides) under Mus musculus (house mouse). The record is from RNAcentral. Lineage: Eukaryota; Metazoa; Chordata; Mammalia; Rodentia; Muridae.